This 253-nucleotide ribosomal RNA is filed under the name uncultured bacterium. RNAcentral's name for it is "partial 16S ribosomal RNA". It matches the Rfam family "Bacterial small subunit ribosomal RNA", at positions 524 to 776 of the family's 1533-position model. The record is from RNAcentral.
UACGGAGGGGGCUAGCGUUGUUCGGAAUUACUGGGCGUAAAGCGCACGUAGGCGGAUUGUUAAGUCGGGGGUGAAAUCCCGGGGCUCAACCCCGGAACGGCCCUCGAUACUGGCAGUCUUGAGGACGGUAGAGGCUAGUGGAAUGGCGAGUGUAGAGGUGAAAUUCGUAGAUAUUCGCCGGAACACCAGUGGCGAAGGCGACUGGCUGGGCCGUUACUGACGCUGAGGUGCGAAAGCGUGGGGAGCAAACAGG